RNAcentral lists this ribosomal RNA (439 nucleotides) under uncultured Hyphomicrobiales bacterium. RNAcentral describes it as "bacterial SSU rRNA". It matches the Rfam family "Bacterial small subunit ribosomal RNA", at positions 99 to 573 of the family's 1533-position model. The record is from RNAcentral. Lineage: Bacteria; Pseudomonadati; Pseudomonadota; Alphaproteobacteria; Hyphomicrobiales.
CAGACGGGUGAGUAAUGUAUAGGAAUCUACCUAGUAGUACGGAAUAAUUGUUGGAAACGGCAACUAAUACCGUAUACGCCCUACGGGGGAAAAAUUUAUUGCUAUUAGAUGAGCCUAUAUUAGAUUAGUUAGUUGGUGAGGUAAAGGCUUACCAAGACAAUGAUCUAUAGCUGAUCUGAGAGGAUGAUCAGCCACACUGGAACUGAGAUACGGUCCAGACUCCUACGGGAGGCAGCANUGGGGAAUAUUGGACAAUGGGCGAAAGCCUGAUCCAGCCAUGCCGCAUGAGUGAAGAAGGCCUUCGGGUUGUAAAGCUCUUUUAGUGAGGAAGAUAAUGACGGUACUCACAGAAGAAGUCCUGGCUAACUCCGUGCCAGCAGCCGCGGUAAUACGGAGAGGGCUAGCGUUAUUCGGAAUCAUUGGGCGUAAAGGGCGCGUA